GAGCGGGCGUAGCAAUACGUCAGCGGCAGACGGGUGAGUAACGCGUGGGAACGUACCUUUUGGUUCGGAACAACACAGGGAAACUUGUGCUAAUACCGGAUAAGCCCUUACGGGGAAAGAUUUAUCGCCGAAAGAUCGGCCCGCGUCUGAUUAGCUAGUUGGUGAGGUAAUGGCUCACCAAGGCGACGAUCAGUAGCUGGUCUGAGAGGAUGAUCAGCCACAUUGGGACUGAGACACGGCCCAAACUCCUACGGGAGGCAGCAGUGGGGAAUAUUGGACAAUGGGGGCAACCCUGAUCCAGCCAUGCCGCGUGAGUGAUGAAGGCCCUAGGGUUGUAAAGCUCUUUUGUGCGGGAAGAUAAUGACGGUACCGCAAGAAUAAGCCCCGGCUAACUUCGUGCCAGCAGCCGCGGUAAUACGAAGGGGGCUAGCGUUGCUCGGAAUCACUGGGCGUAAAGGGUGCGUAGGCGGGUCUUUAAGUCAGGGGUGAAAUCCUGGAGCUCAACUCCAGAACUGCCUUUGAUACUGAGGAUCUUGAGUUCGGGAGAGGUGAGUGGAACUGCGAGUGUAGAGGUGAAAUUCGUAGAUAUUCGCAAGAACACCAGUGGCGAAGGCGGCUCA
This 620-nucleotide ribosomal RNA is filed under the name Bradyrhizobium japonicum. RNAcentral describes it as "bacterial SSU rRNA". It matches the Rfam family "Bacterial small subunit ribosomal RNA", at positions 64 to 728 of the family's 1533-position model. Lineage: Bacteria; Pseudomonadati; Pseudomonadota; Alphaproteobacteria; Hyphomicrobiales; Nitrobacteraceae. The record is from RNAcentral.